This 1514-nucleotide ribosomal RNA is filed under the name uncultured Bacillota bacterium. RNAcentral's name for it is "bacterial SSU rRNA". It matches the Rfam family "Bacterial small subunit ribosomal RNA". The record is from RNAcentral. Lineage: Bacteria; Bacillati; Bacillota.
AGAGUUUGAUCAUGGCUCAGGAUGAACGCUGGCGGCGUGCCUAACACAUGCAAGUCGAGCGAGAAAUUUAGAUAGGAAUCUUCGGAGGAAUAUUUAAAUGGAAAGCGGCGGACGGGUGAGUAACGCGUGGGUAACCUACCCUAUACAGGGGGAUAACACAUUGAAAAGUGUGCUAAUACCGCAUAAGCACACAAUACCGCAUGGUAUUGAGUGAAAAACUCCGGUGGUAUAGGAUGGACCCGCGUCUGAUUAGCUAGUUGGUGAGGUAAAGGCUCACCAAGGCGACGAUCAGUAGCCGGCCUGAGAGGGUGAACGGCCACAUUGGGACUGAGACACGGCCCAAACUCCUACGGGAGGCAGCAGUGGGGAAUAUUGCACAAUGGGGGAAACCCUGAUGCAGCAACGCCGCGUGAAGGAAGAAGGUUUUCGGAUCGUAAACUUCUAUCAGCAGGGGAAGAAAAUGACAGUACCUGACUAANAAGCCCCGGCUUAACUACGUUGCCAGCAGCCCGCGGUNAUACGUUAGGGGGGCAANGCNGUUUAUCCGGAAAUUACUGGGNUGUAAAGGGUGCCGUAGGGCGGCCGAGGCCAAGUCAGAUGUGAAAAGCCCUUAGGCUCAACUUAGGGACUGCAUUUGAAACUGCUUUGCUAGAGUGCAGGAGAGGAAAGCGGAAUUCCUAGUGUGGCGGUGAAAUGCGUAGAUAUUAGGAGGAACACCAGUGGCGAAGGCGGCUUUCUGGACUGUAACUGACGCUGAGGCACGAAAGCGUGGGGAGCGAACAGGAUUAGAUACCCUGGUAGUCCACGCUGUAAACGAUGAGUGCUAGGUGUCGGCCUGUAGAGGGUCGGUGCCGAAGUUAACACAUUAAGCACUCCACCUGGGGAGUACGAUCGCAAGAUUGAAACUCAAAGGAAUUGACGGGGGCCCCGCACAAAGCGGUGGAGCAUGUGGUUUAAUUCGAAGCAACGCGAAGAACCUUACCAGGUCUUGACAUCCCAUUGACAGGGACUUAACCGUCCUUUACCUUCGGGACAAUGGAGACAGGUGGUGCAUGGUUGUCGUCAGCUCGUGUCGUGAGAUGUUGGGUUAAGUCCCGCAACGAGCGCAACCCUUAUCUUUAGUAGCCAGCACGUAAUGGUGGGGACUCUAGAGAGACUGCCGGGGACAACUCGGAGGAAGGUGGGGGAUGACGUCAAAUCAUCAUGCCCCUUAUGAUCCUGGGCUACACACGUGCUACAAUGGCGGUUACAAAGGGAAGCGAAGGAGUGAUCUGGAGCAAACCCCAAAAAAACCGUCCCAGUUCGGAUUGUAGUCUGCAACUCGACUACAUGAAGUUGGAAUCGCUAGUAAUCGCGGAUCAGAAUGUCGCGGUGAAUACGUUCCCGGGCCUUGUACACACCGCCCGUCACACCAUGGAAGUCGGAAGCGCCCGAAGCCGGUGACCAAACCGUAAGGAUGGAGCCGUCGAAGGUGAAAUCGAUGACUAGGGUGAAGUCGUAACAAGGUAGCCGUA